This 292-nucleotide ribosomal RNA is filed under the name uncultured bacterium. Its description in RNAcentral is "partial 16S ribosomal RNA". It matches the Rfam family "Bacterial small subunit ribosomal RNA", at positions 505 to 796 of the family's 1533-position model. The record is from RNAcentral.
GUUUCAGCAGCCGCGGUAAAACGUAGGAGACAAACGUUAUCCGGAGUUACUGGGCGUAAAGGGCGUGCAGGUGGUUCGUUAAGUCUGGCGUGAAAGCCUCCGGCUCAACCGGGGAAAGUCGUCGGAGACUGACGAACUAGAGGGCAGUAGAGGCGUGUGGAAUUCCGGGUGUAGUGGUGAAAUGCGUAGAGAUCCGGAGGAACACCAGUGGCGAAGGCGACACGCUGGGCUGCACCUGACACUGAGACGCGACAGCAUGGGGAGCGAACGGGAUUAGAUACCCUGGUAGUCC